This 1405-nucleotide ribosomal RNA is filed under the name Klebsiella sp. UIWRF0495. RNAcentral's name for it is "bacterial SSU rRNA". It matches the Rfam family "Bacterial small subunit ribosomal RNA". The record is from RNAcentral. Lineage: Bacteria; Pseudomonadati; Pseudomonadota; Gammaproteobacteria; Enterobacterales; Enterobacteriaceae.
UGGCGGCAGGCCUAACACAUGCAAGUCGAGCGGUAGCACAGAGAGCUUGCUCUCGGGUGACGAGCGGCGGACGGGUGAGUAAUGUCUGGGAAACUGCCUGAUGGAGGGGGAUAACUACUGGAAACGGUAGCUAAUACCGCAUAAUGUCGCAAGACCAAAGUGGGGGACCUUCGGGCCUCAUGCCAUCAGAUGUGCCCAGAUGGGAUUAGCUGGUAGGUGGGGUAACGGCUCACCUAGGCGACGAUCCCUAGCUGGUCUGAGAGGAUGACCAGCCACACUGGAACUGAGACACGGUCCAGACUCCUACGGGAGGCAGCAGUGGGGAAUAUUGCACAAUGGGCGCAAGCCUGAUGCAGCCAUGCCGCGUGUGUGAAGAAGGCCUUCGGGUUGUAAAGCACUUUCAGCGGGGAGGAAGGCGGUGAGGUUAAUAACCUCAUCGAUUGACGUUACCCGCAGAAGAAGCACCGGCUAACUCCGUGCCAGCAGCCGCGGUAAUACGGAGGGUGCAAGCGUUAAUCGGAAUUACUGGGCGUAAAGCGCACGCAGGCGGUCUGUCAAGUCGGAUGUGAAAUCCCCGGGCUCAACCUGGGAACUGCAUUCGAAACUGGCAGGCUAGAGUCUUGUAGAGGGGGGUAGAAUUCCAGGUGUAGCGGUGAAAUGCGUAGAGAUCUGGAGGAAUACCGGUGGCGAAGGCGGCCCCCUGGACAAAGACUGACGCUCAGGUGCGAAAGCGUGGGGAGCAAACAGGAUUAGAUACCCUGGUAGUCCACGCUGUAAACGAUGUCGAUUUGGAGGUUGUGCCCUUGAGGCGUGGCUUCCGGAGCUAACGCGUUAAAUCGACCGCCUGGGGAGUACGGCCGCAAGGUUAAAACUCAAAUGAAUUGACGGGGGCCCGCACAAGCGGUGGAGCAUGUGGUUUAAUUCGAUGCAACGCGAAGAACCUUACCUGGUCUUGACAUCCACAGAACUUUCCAGAGAUGGAUUGGUGCCUUCGGGAACUGUGAGACAGGUGCUGCAUGGCUGUCGUCAGCUCGUGUUGUGAAAUGUUGGGUUAAGUCCCGCAACGAGCGCAACCCUUAUCCUUUGUUGCCAGCGGUCCGGCCGGGAACUCAAAGGAGACUGCCAGUGAUAAACUGGAGGAAGGUGGGGAUGACGUCAAGUCAUCAUGGCCCUUACGACCAGGGCUACACACGUGCUACAAUGGCAUAUACAAAGAGAAGCGACCUCGCGAGAGCAAGCGGACCUCAUAAAGUAUGUCGUAGUCCGGAUUGGAGUCUGCAACUCGACUCCAUGAAGUCGGAAUCGCUAGUAAUCGUAGAUCAGAAUGCUACGGUGAAUACGUUCCCGGGCCUUGUACACACCGCCCGUCACACCAUGGGAGUGGGUUGCAAAAGAAGUAGGUAGU